GGCGAACGCUGGCGGCGUGCUUAACACAUGCAAGUCGAACGGAAAGGCCCUGCUUUUGUGGGGUGCUCGAGUGGCGAACGGGUGAGUAACACGUGAGUAACCUGCCCUUGACUUUGGGAUAACUUCAGAAAACUGGGGCUAAUACCGGAUAGGAGCUCCUGCUGCAUGGUGGGGGUUGGAAAGUUUCGGCGGUUGGGGAUGGACUCGCGGCUUAUCAGCUUGUUGGUGGGGUAGUGGCUUACCAAGGCUUUGACGGGUAGCCGGCCUGAGAGGGUGACCGGCCACAUUGGGACUGAGAUACGGCCCAGACUCCUACGGGAGGCAGCAGUGGGGAAUAUUGCACAAUGGGCGGAAGCCUGAUGCAGCAACGCCGCGUGCGGGAUGACGGCCUUCGGGUUGUAAACCGCUUUCGCCUGUGACGAAGCGUGAGUGACGGUAAUGGGUAAAGAAGCACCGGCUAACUACGUG
RNAcentral lists this ribosomal RNA (468 nucleotides) under uncultured bacterium. Its description in RNAcentral is "partial 16S ribosomal RNA". It matches the Rfam family "Bacterial small subunit ribosomal RNA", at positions 28 to 507 of the family's 1533-position model. The record is from RNAcentral.